Molecule: ribosomal RNA, 254 nt
Filed under: uncultured bacterium
Lineage: Bacteria
Description: partial 16S ribosomal RNA
Rfam family: Bacterial small subunit ribosomal RNA
Source: RNAcentral
UACAGAGGGUGCGAGCGUUGUCCGGAAUCACUGGGCGUAAAGGGCGCGUAGGUGGUGGCUUAAGCGUGCGGUGAAAGCUCGGAGCUCAACUCCGAGUCGGCCGUGCGAACUGGGCUCACUGGAGCAUAGUAGAGGCAGGUGGAAUUCCGGGUGUAGCGGUGGAAUGCGUAGAGAUCCGGAAGAACACCGGUGGCGAAGGCGGCUCACUGGCUCGUAACUGACGCUCAUGCACGACAGCGUGGGGAUCAAACAGG